GUAGGUGGCAAGCGUUGUCCGGAAUUAUUGGGCGUAAAGCGCGCGCAGGUGGGUUCUUUAAGUCUGAUGUGAAAGCCCCCGGGCUCAACCGGGGAGGGUCAUUGGAAACUGGGGAACUUGAGUGCAGGAGAGGAAAGUGGAAUUCCACGUGUAGCGGUGAAAUGCGUAGAUAAGUGGAGGAACACUAGUGGCGAAGGCGACUUUCUGGCCUGUAACUGACACUGAGGCGCGAAAGCGUGGGGAGCAAACAGGAUUAGAUACCCUGGUAGUCCACGCCGUAAACGAUGAGUGCUAAGUGUUGGGGGGUUUCCGCCCCUCAGUGCUGCAGCUAACGCAUUAAGCACUCCGCCUGGGGAGUACGGUCGCAAAGACUG
Molecule: ribosomal RNA, 374 nt
Filed under: uncultured organism
Description: partial 16S ribosomal RNA
Rfam family: Bacterial small subunit ribosomal RNA
Source: RNAcentral